Molecule: ribosomal RNA, 67 nt
Filed under: uncultured bacterium
Lineage: Bacteria
Description: partial 16S ribosomal RNA
Source: RNAcentral
CUGCUGCCUCCCGUAGGAGUUUGGGCCGUGUCUCAGUCCCAAUGUGGCCGUCCACCCUCUCAGGCCG